This 1590-nucleotide ribosomal RNA is filed under the name Physeter macrocephalus (sperm whale). RNAcentral describes it as "Physeter catodon (sperm whale) 16S ribosomal RNA". It matches the Rfam family "Bacterial large subunit ribosomal RNA", at positions 274 to 2854 of the family's 2925-position model. Lineage: Eukaryota; Metazoa; Chordata; Mammalia; Artiodactyla; Physeteridae. The record is from RNAcentral.
ACUAGAUCUAGCCCACACUCCCCCCNNNNNNNNNCCCCCCNAUCACAGACAAAUCAAAUAAAGCAUUCACCACCCAUUCAAAGUAUAGGAGAUAGAAAUCCAAAUCACUAGUGGCGCUAUAGAGAAAGUACCGUAAGGGAAAGAUGAAAGAUAUCCUAAAAGUAAAAAAAAGCAAAGCUUACCCCUUGUACCUUUUGCAUAAUGAAUUAACUAGUAGUAACUUAGCAAAGAGACCUUUAGUUAAACUACCCGAAACCAGACGAGCUACUUACGAACAGUACCUAGAACGAACUCAUCUAUGUGGCAAAAUAGUGAGAAGAUUUGUAAGUAGAGGUGAAAAGCCUAACGAGCCUGGUGAUAGCUGGUUGUCCAAGAAAAGAAUCUCAGUUCAACAUUAAACAGUACCAAGAACCCCCUGAAGUUCCAAUGUAUGUUUAACUGUUAGUCUAAAAAGGUACAGCUUUUUAGAAAUGGGUACAACCUUAACUAGAGAGUAAAACAGACACACACAUGCCAUAGUUGGCUUAAAAGCAGCCAUCAAUUAAGAAAGCGUUCAAGCUCAACAAUAAAACUGUGUUAUAAUCCCAACAAUAACAAAUCAACUCCUAGUAUAAUUAUUGGACUAAUCUAUAUAAUUAUAGAAGCAAUACUGUUAACAUGAGUAACAAGAAAACUUUUUCUCCUCGCACAAGCUUACAUCAGUAACUGAUACUACACUGAUAGUUAACAGCCAAUAAAUAAAACCCAACGCCAAGCCAUUUAUUAAGCCCACUGUUAACCCAACACAGGCGUGCACCAAGGAAAGAUUAAAAAAAGUAAAAGGAACUCGGCAAACACAAACCUCGCCUGUUUACCAAAAACAUCACCUCUAGCAUAACCAGUAUUAGAGGCACUGCCUGCCCAGUGACUGAUAGUUAAACGGCCGCGGUAUCCUGACCGUGCAAAGGUAGCAUAAUCACUUGUUCUCUAAAUAAGGACUUGUAUGAACGGCCACACGAAGGUUUUACUGUCUCUUACUUUUAAUCAGUGAAAUUGACCUUCCCGUGAAGAGGCGGGAAUAACAAAACAAGACGAGAAGACCCUAUGGAGCUUCAAUUAAUCAACCCAAUAACCCACAACCUCAAACCACCAAGGGAUAAAAAAAACUUAUAUGGGUUGACAAUUUCGGUUGGGGUGACCUCGGAGCACAAAAACCCCUCCGAGUGAUUAAAGCCUAGGCCUACCAGCCAAAGCAUAACAUCACUUAUUGAUCCAAAGCUUUGAUCAACGGAACAAGUUACCCUAGGGAUAACAGCGCAAUCCUAUUCUAGAGUCCAUAUCGACAAUAGGGUUUACGACCUCGAUGUUGGAUCAGGACAUCCUAAUGGUGCAGCCGCUAUUAAGGGUUCGUUUGUUCAACGAUUAAAGUCCUACGUGAUCUGAGUUCAGACCGGAGCAAUCCAGGUCGGUUUCUAUCUGUUGCGCAUUUCUCCCAGUACGAAAGGACAAGAGAAAUAAGGCCAACUUUACACACGCGCCUUCAAAUAACUAAUGAUCUAAUCUUAAUUAAACAAACAAGCGCAAACUAACCCUGCCCAAGACCAGGGCAUU